RNAcentral lists this ribosomal RNA (402 nucleotides) under uncultured prokaryote. RNAcentral's name for it is "bacterial SSU rRNA". It matches the Rfam family "Bacterial small subunit ribosomal RNA", at positions 355 to 774 of the family's 1533-position model. The record is from RNAcentral.
UGGGGAAUAUUGCACAAUGGGCGAAAGCCUGAUGCAGCGACGCCGCGUGAGUGAUGAAGUAUUUCGGUAUGUAAAGCUCUAUCAGCAGGGAAGAAAAUGACGGUACCUGACUAAGAAGCUCCGGCUAAAUACGUGCCAGCAGCCGCGGUAAUACGUAUGGAGCAAGCGUUAUCCGGAUUUACUGGGUGUAAAGGGAGUGUAGGCGGUCUAGAAAGUCUGAUGUGAAAACCCGGGGCUCAACCGCGGGAUUGCAUUGGAAACUUUUAGACUAGAGUAUCGGAGAGGCAAGCGGAAUUCCUGGUGUAGAGGUGAAAUUCGUAGAUAUCAGGAAGAACAUCGGUGGCGAAGGCGGCUUGCUGGACGACAACUGACGCUGAGGCUCGAAAGCGUGGGAAGCGAACA